This 862-nucleotide ribosomal RNA is filed under the name uncultured bacterium. Its description in RNAcentral is "bacterial SSU rRNA". It matches the Rfam family "Bacterial small subunit ribosomal RNA", at positions 8 to 898 of the family's 1533-position model. The record is from RNAcentral.
AGAGGUUGAUCCUGGCUCAGGACGAACGCUGGCGGUGUGCUUAAUACAUGCAAGUCGAACGAUGAGUUCUUUCGGGAACCAUCAGUGGCGGACGGCUGAGUAACGCGUAGGUAACGUGCCCUUUACUGGGGGAUAACAUCGGGAAACCGGUGCUAAUACCGCAUAAGUCACGAGUUGAAAUAUGGUGAUUAAAGAAUUUCGGUAAAGGAUCGGCCUGCGUCUGAUUAGCUAGUUGGUAGGGUAACGGCCCACCAAGGCGAUGAUCCGUAGGGGGCGUGAGAGCGUGGCCCCCCACAUUGGCACUGAGACACGGGCCAAACUCCUACGGGAGGCAGCAGUGAGGAAUAUUGCGCAAUGGGCGAAAGCCUGACGCAGCAACGCCGCGUGAGGGACGAAGGCCUUCGGGUCGUAAACCUCUUUUCUGAGGGACGAGCAGGACGGUACCUCAGGAAUCAGUCUCGGCUAACUACGUGCCAGCAGCCGCGGUAAAACGUAGGAGGCGAGCGUUAUCCGGAUUUACUGGGCGUAAAGCGCACGCAGGUGGCACGGCAAGUCGGUUGUGAAAGCUCCUGGCUUAACUGGGAGAGGCCAAGCGAAACUGCCGGGCUUGAGGUUGGGAGAGGGGUGCGGAAUUCCCGGUGUAGCGGUGGAAUGCGUAGAUAUCGGGAGGAACACCAGUGGCGAAGGCGGCACCCUGGCCCACACCUGACGCUGAGGUGCGAAAGCGUGGGGAGUAAACAGGAUUAGAUACCCUGGUAAUCCACGCCGUAAACGAUGUCAACUGGGUGUCGGUAGGUUACCUAUCGGUGCCGAAGCUAACGCGUUAAGUUGACCGCCUGGGGACUACGGCCGCAAGGCUAAA